Molecule: ribosomal RNA, 765 nt
Filed under: Triticum aestivum (bread wheat)
Lineage: Eukaryota; Viridiplantae; Streptophyta; Magnoliopsida; Poales; Poaceae
Description: partial small subunit ribosomal RNA
Source: RNAcentral
AUGCUUCAUGCUAGUGCGACUUCCUCAUGUCAUGACUUACCAAUUUAUGAUGAAUAUGACGAUGAGCAUGUUGAGUUGCCUAGUUGUGAUGCUAUGCUCCAUAGGAUAUCAUGUGAAAAUUCUAUUGGUCACUUCAUGUUUCACAAUCCAUUGAACUUGUCAUAUGCUAUGAGUGAGAUCUCCCAUAUUGCUUCAUUUCAAUCCCAACAUAGUAACUAUGCAUGCCCCAUUAAAAUAAAUCCCAUUUGCACUUAUGGCAUAGAUGAUGAGAUGAUGGUCAUUGGCUUUUGUUUUUCAUGUGAUGAUAUUGCCAUGCUUCCGUUACAUGAUUUGUACAAUUCAUCUACUAUGCCAUGCCAUGAUCAUAUUGUUCCAAAUAUGCAUUGUUUUGGAUGUUGUCAAUAUUCUCCAUGUGAUGUUUCCACUAAUGCUCAUGAGGAGACCCCCAUAGUUUCCUCAUACAUAUUAGGAGAUCUUGAUGCAUUCCAUACUUUGCAUGAUCCCCAUAAUUUCUUGCACCAUAUGCAUACCAUUCAUAACAAUGCUCUAGAUAUCACUAGUGAUGCAUUACACAAUUUGAGUCUCCAUUAUGCUAUACAUAAUAACAAACCUCUCAUGAUGGAUGACAUGUUCCUUUAUCACGCAUCUCCUUUGUUUGAGCAUUGGAUAUUUUAUGCUAACCAACACAUGCACAUGCGCAUCAUGAUGGAUGAUGUGUACAUAUACCACGCACACACAAUUUUCCCUUUGUCUUGUUUUGUGUAG